ACACUCCUACGGGAGGCAGCAGUGGGGAAUUUUGGACAAUGGGGGCAACCCUGAUCCAGCAAUGCCGCGUGAGUGAAGAAGGCCUUCGGGUUGUAAAGCUCUUUUGUCAGGGAAGAAACGGUGGUGGCGAAUAACUACUACUAAUGACGGUACCUGAAGAAUAAGCACCGGCUAACUACGUGCCAGCAGCCGCGGUAAUACGUAGGGUGCAAGCGUUAAUCGGAAUUACUGGGCGUAAAGCGUGCGCAGGCGGUUGUGUAAGUCAGAUGUGAAAUCCCCGGGCUCAACCUGGGAAUUGCAUUUGAGACUGCACGGCUAGAGUGUGUCAGAGGGGGGUAGAAUUCCACGUGUAGCAGUGAAAUGCGUAGAUAUGUGGAGGAAUACCGAUGGCGAAGGCAGCCCCCUGGGAUAACACUGACGCUCAUGCACGAAAGCGUGGGGAGCAAACAGGAUUAGAAACCCGUGUAGUCCCAUGAU
Molecule: ribosomal RNA, 477 nt
Filed under: uncultured organism
Description: partial 16S ribosomal RNA
Rfam family: Bacterial small subunit ribosomal RNA
Source: RNAcentral